Molecule: ribosomal RNA, 492 nt
Filed under: uncultured bacterium
Lineage: Bacteria
Description: partial 16S ribosomal RNA
Rfam family: Bacterial small subunit ribosomal RNA
Source: RNAcentral
AGUGAACGCUGGCGGUAGGCCUAACACAUGCAAGUCGAACGGCAGCACAGUAAGAGCUUGCUCUUACGGGUGGCGAGUGGCGGACGGGUGAGGAAUACAUCGGAAUCUACUUUUUCGUGGGGGAUAACGUAGGGAAACUUACGCUAAUACCGCAUACGACCUACGGGUGAAAGCAGUGGAUCUUCUGACCUUGCGCGAUUGAAUGAGCCGCUGUCGGAUUAGCUAGUUGGCGGGGUAAAGGCCCACCAAGGCGACGAUCCGUAGCUGGUCUGAGAGGAGGAUCGCCCACCUUGGAAGUGAGACACGGUCCAGAGUCCUGAGGGAGGGAGCAGUGGGGAAUAUUAGACAAUAGGCGCGAGCCUGAUCCAACCAGCCGGCGUGGGUGAAGGAGGCCUACGGGUUGUAAAGACCUUUUGUUGGGAAAGAACAGCAGCAGGUUAAUACCCCGCUGUUCUGACGGUACCCAAAGAAUAAGCACCGGCUAACUUCGUG